Molecule: ribosomal RNA, 305 nt
Filed under: uncultured bacterium
Lineage: Bacteria
Description: bacterial SSU rRNA
Rfam family: Bacterial small subunit ribosomal RNA
Source: RNAcentral
CCUACGGGACGCAGCAGUGGGGAAUAUUGCACAAUGGGGGGAACCCUGACGCAGCGACGCCGCGUGAGGGAUGAAGGUUUUAGAUCGUAAACCUCUGUCAGGAGGGAAGAAAGCGCAUGGCGCCAAUCAGCCAUGCGUUGACGGUACCUCCAAAGGAAGCGCCGGCUAACUCCGUGCCAGCAGCCGCGGUAAUACGGAGGGCGCGAGCGUUAAUCGGAAUUACUGGGCGUAAAGCGCGCGUAGGCUGUUGUGUAAGUUGGGGGUGAAAUCCCACGGCUCAACCGUGGAACAGCCCUUGAUACUGC